This 447-nucleotide ribosomal RNA is filed under the name uncultured bacterium. RNAcentral's name for it is "bacterial SSU rRNA". It matches the Rfam family "Bacterial small subunit ribosomal RNA", at positions 355 to 825 of the family's 1533-position model. The record is from RNAcentral.
UCGGGAAUUUUGGGCAAUGGGGGAAAGCCUGACCCAGCAACGCCGCGUGAAGGAUGAAGUAUUUCGGUAUGUAAACUUCGUAAGAAUAGGAAGAAUAAAUGACGGUACUAUUUGUAAGGUCCGGCUAACUACGUGCCAGCAGCCGCGGUAAUACGUAGGGACCAAGCGUUGUUCGGAUUUACUGGGCGUAAAGGGCGCGUAGGCGGCGUGGUAAGUCAUCUGUGAAAUCUCCGAGCUUAACUCGGAACGGUCAGAUGAUACUGCUGUGCUAGAGUACAGAAAGGGCAAUCGGAAUUCUUGGUGUAGCGGUGAAAUGCGUAGAUAUCAAGAGGAACACCUGAGGCGAAGGCGGGUUGCUAGGCUGAUACUGACGCUGAGGCGCGAAAGCUAGGGUAGCAAACGGGAUUAGAUACCCACGUAGUCCCUGAGCGGGCUGGCAAGGCGCAU